GGGGAAGUAGCCAUUCAUAGUGCAGUGCCGAGGCAGCAGGGAUAAUGUAGGCCAUAAGCUUGCUUGAAGAGAUGAGUCUUAAGAUUACUCUUGAAGGUCUUGAUGGCCCAGCCUAGGAUCAAAAUGAUGCAAUCAACCAGAGUUUGAGAUAUCAUCCAGUGUAAUAGUGCCCUUAUUUUACACAGGCAUUUCAAGUAUGGGCUUUCCCCGAAUGAAAGAGGGAAAGGAGAAGGCAUGAGGAGACGUCUUACUGCAUCUGUCAAAAUAGCAGUAGAGAGAGUACGGCUCUUCCUGACUGCACACACGGGCAGCCUGCAUUCUUUCUGACAAAAACACAAUUCAACUUCCACUUGAGAGAAGAAAAAAAAAAAAGAAGACAGGACAUUGCAAGUGGCCAAAACAAGCAGCUGUUAAACAUGCUUCUCCACCGGAAACGCACUCAGCAAAACUGUUUGUUAAUUCCUGUUAUUUCCUUCCAUUUUUAUAACCAAUUUUAUUUUUCCUGCAAACAACCUCACCUUAAAAACAAGGUUCAUGAACGCCACGAUACAUUAUGUGAUCAGCAAUGAAAGAGUCUGCAGGAUGGAAGCUUUGUGAUCAAAGUAAAAGCGUUUAUCGCAGG
This is a long non-coding RNA of Hyla sarda, 622 nucleotides long. RefSeq lists it as uncharacterized. Lineage: Eukaryota; Metazoa; Chordata; Amphibia; Anura; Hylidae. The record is from RefSeq and is a predicted model, not a curated record. The transcript has 3 exons.